GGGGAUAUAGCUCAGUUGGUAGAGUGCUUGCCUCUCAUGUACAAGGCCCUGGGUUCGAUUCCCCAGCAACCCCC
RNAcentral lists this transfer RNA (74 nucleotides) under Ictidomys tridecemlineatus (thirteen-lined ground squirrel). Its description in RNAcentral is "Spermophilus tridecemlineatus (thirteen-lined ground squirrel) tRNA". It matches the Rfam family "tRNA". From Rfam's summary of the family: Transfer RNA (tRNA) molecules are approximately 80 nucleotides in length. Lineage: Eukaryota; Metazoa; Chordata; Mammalia; Rodentia; Sciuridae. The record is from Rfam by way of RNAcentral.